ACGCUCGACACCUACGAGAGGCAGCAGUGGGGAAUAUUGCACAAUGGGGGAAACCCUGAUGCAGCGACGCCGCGUGAGGGAAGAAGGUUUUCGGAUUGUAAACCUCUGUCCUUGGUGAAGAAGGAAGACGGUAGCCAAGGAGGAAGCCACGGCUAACUACGUGCCAGCAGCCGCGGUAAUCUGAGCGGGCUGGCAAGGC
Molecule: ribosomal RNA, 199 nt
Filed under: uncultured bacterium
Lineage: Bacteria
Description: partial 16S ribosomal RNA
Rfam family: Bacterial small subunit ribosomal RNA
Source: RNAcentral